This 1041-nucleotide ribosomal RNA is filed under the name Glutinoglossum glutinosum. RNAcentral describes it as "eukaryotic LSU rRNA". The stretch from base 692 to 845 matches the Rfam family "5.8S ribosomal RNA". Lineage: Eukaryota; Fungi; Ascomycota; Geoglossomycetes; Geoglossales; Geoglossaceae. The record is from RNAcentral.
UAACAAGGUUUCCAUAGGAACAAGUCCUUCCGCUGGUAACACUUGCCGAAGCCUUAGCAGCCUGAAAGGGUGCCCCUCGACGACUUGAAAUAAAAUUAGAGGGUCUCAAAUGCUAGUCCACUGUAUAUAGGGUGGGCAACACUGUCAAAUUGCGGGGAACCCCUAAAGACCUUGACACCAAGCGUCUGCUGGAAACAGCGGCGUGGCCGAGCUAAUAGCCCUGGGUAUGGUAAUAGUUCAAGGUAUGAGCCUGAGUGAUCGGGUGAAAUGGGCGAUCUGCAGCCAAGUCCUAAGGUCUCUCUGUAGGCUACGGAUGCUGUUCACAGGCCAAAUGGCAGUGGGUGGGAGUUAUCAUCUCCUGCUUAAGAUAUGGUCGGUCCCCUCGUGAAAGCUUGGGGGUAAGUUUACCGGAGUGAGAAAUAAUGAGCAAUUUUACCAGGUGUUCUAUAAUAACUGUAAGAAUAUCUGCGCUUGUUUGUUUGCGGUUCUCAGAAAUUCUGAGUACUUUUACGUUCCGUAGGUGAACCUGCGGAAGGAUCAUUACCGAGUUAGGGUCCUAACCUGGCCCAACCUCCAACCCCUUGUGUACCUCGCAAGUUAAACUGUUGCUUCGGCAGGCUUCUGUGCCUGCCGAAGCCCAAGUUCAAAAUCUUUUUAAUGGUGUCGUCUGAGUUAAAUGUUAAAUCAUUAAAACUUUCAACAACGGAUCUCUUGGUUCCUGCAUCGAUGAAGAACGCAGCGAAAUGCGAUAAGUAAUGUGAAUUGCAGAAUUCAGUGAAUCAUCGAAUCUUUGAACGCACAUUGCGCCCCUGGGCAUUCCUAGGGGCAUGCCUGUUCGAGCGUCAUUGUAAAAAUCUCAAGCUCAGCUUGGUGUUGGGUGUUUGCCCCUCCCCCUUACAAGGGGGGAAGGGCACGUCUGAAAAUCAGUGGCGGUGCCACGAUGGCCUCAAGCGUAGUAGACUCUCUCUCGCUUUGGAUGGUUCAUUGUGCGGUUCACCUGUCUAACCUAAAAUCUUAGAAAGGUUUGACCUCGGAUCAGUA